RNAcentral lists this ribosomal RNA (1117 nucleotides) under Bacillus licheniformis. RNAcentral describes it as "bacterial SSU rRNA". It matches the Rfam family "Bacterial small subunit ribosomal RNA", at positions 367 to 1486 of the family's 1533-position model. The record is from RNAcentral. Lineage: Bacteria; Bacillati; Bacillota; Bacilli; Caryophanales; Bacillaceae.
CGCAUGGACGAAGUCUGACGGAGCAACGCCGCGUGAGUGAUGAAGGUUUUCGGAUCGUAAAACUCUGUUGUUAGGGAAGAACAAGUACCGUUCGAAUAGGGCGGUACCUUGACGGUACCUAACCAGAAAGCCACGGCUAACUACGUGCCAGCAGCCGCGGUAAUACGUAGGUGGCAAGCGUUGUCCGGAAUUAUUGGGCGUAAAGCGCGCGCAGGCGGUUUCUUAAGUCUGAUGUGAAAGCCCCCGGCUCAACCGGGGAGGGUCAUUGGAAACUGGGGAACUUGAGUGCAGAAGAGGAGAGUGGAAUUCCACGUGUAGCGGUGAAAUGCGUAGAGAUGUGGAGGAACACCAGUGGCGAAGGCGACUCUCUGGUCUGUAACUGACGCUGAGGCGCGAAAGCGUGGGGAGCGAACAGGAUUAGAUACCCUGGUAGUCCACGCCGUAAACGAUGAGUGCUAAGUGUUAGAGGGUUUCCGCCCUUUAGUGCUGCAGCAAACGCAUUAAGCACUCCGCCUGGGGAGUACGGUCGCAAGACUGAAACUCAAAGGAAUUGACGGGGGCCCGCACAAGCGGUGGAGCAUGUGGUUUAAUUCGAAGCAACGCGAAGAACCUUACCAGGUCUUGACAUCCUCUGACAACCCUAGAGAUAGGGCUUCCCCUUCGGGGGCAGAGUGACAGGUGGUGCAUGGUUGUCGUCAGCUCGUGUCGUGAGAUGUUGGGUUAAGUCCCGCAACGAGCGCAACCCUUGAUCUUAGUUGCCAGCAUUCAGUUGGGCACUCUAAGGUGACUGCCGGUGACAAACCGGAGGAAGGUGGGGAUGACGUCAAAUCAUCAUGCCCCUUAUGACCUGGGCUACACACGUGCUACAAUGGGCAGAACAAAGGGCAGCGAAGCCGCGAGGCUAAGCCAAUCCCACAAAUCUGUUCUCAGUUCGGAUCGCAGUCUGCAACUCGACUGCGUGAAGCUGGAAUCGCUAGUAAUCGCGGAUCAGCAUGCCGCGGUGAAUACGUUCUCGGGCCUUGUACACACCGCCCGUCACACCACGAGAGUUUGUACACCCGAAGUCGUUGAGGUAACCUUUUGGAGCAGCCGCCAAGUGGGACGUGAUGGGUGAGUA